This 433-nucleotide ribosomal RNA is filed under the name uncultured bacterium. Its description in RNAcentral is "partial 16S ribosomal RNA". It matches the Rfam family "Bacterial small subunit ribosomal RNA", at positions 29 to 507 of the family's 1533-position model. The record is from RNAcentral.
AACGAACGCUGGCGGCAUGCCUAAUACAUGCAAGUCGAACGAGAUCUUCGGAUCUAGUGGCGCACGGGUGCGUAACGCGUGGGAAUCUGCCCUUGGGUUCGGAAUAACUUCUGGAAACGGAAGCUAAUACCGGAUGAUGACGUAGGUCCAAAGAUUUAUCGCCCAAGGAUGAGCCCGCGUAGGAUUAGGUAGUUGGUGAGGUAAAGGCUCACCAAGCCGACGAUCCUUAGCUGGUCUGAGAGGAUGAUCAGCCACACUGGGACUGAGACACGGCCCAGACUCCUACGGGAGGCAGCAGUAGGGAAUAUUGGACAAUGGGCGAAAGCCUGAUCCAGCAAUGCCGCGUGAGUGAUGAAGGCCUUAGGGUUGUAAAGCUCUUUUACCCGGGAUGAUAAUGACAGUACCGGGAGAAUAAGCUCCGGCUAACUCCGUG